RNAcentral lists this ribosomal RNA (253 nucleotides) under uncultured bacterium. RNAcentral's name for it is "partial 16S ribosomal RNA". It matches the Rfam family "Bacterial small subunit ribosomal RNA", at positions 524 to 776 of the family's 1533-position model. The record is from RNAcentral.
UACGGAGGAGGCAAGCGUUAUCCGGAAUUAUUGGGCGUAAAGCGUCCGCAGGUGGCACCUCAAGUCUGCUGUCAAAGACCGGGGCUUAACCCCAGAAAGGCAGUGGAAACUGAAGUGCUAGAGUGCAGUAGGGGCAGAGGGAAUUCCCGGUGUAGCGGUGAAAUGCGUAGAGAUCGGGAAGAACAUCGGUGGCGAAAGCGCUCUGCUGGACUGCAACUGACACUCAGGGACGAAAGCUAGGGGAGCGAAUGGG